Molecule: non-coding RNA, 54 nt
Organism: Salmo salar (Atlantic salmon)
Lineage: Eukaryota; Metazoa; Chordata; Actinopteri; Salmoniformes; Salmonidae
Source: Rfam
UGGACACAUGACUGUAAGUCACUUUGGAUAAAAGCGUCUGCUUAAUGUAUUUUA